Molecule: ribosomal RNA, 118 nt
Organism: Lepisosteus oculatus (spotted gar)
Lineage: Eukaryota; Metazoa; Chordata; Actinopteri; Semionotiformes; Lepisosteidae
Source: Ensembl
GGGAGUAGCCAUAUCACUCUGCAACUCACAACUGGCAACCCACUGAAGCUAAGCAGGUGUGAGGCUGGCCAGUACCUGGAUGGGAGACCUCCUGGGAAAAACUAGGUUGCUGCUGGAA